UGAACGCUAGCUACAGGCUUAACACAUGCAAGUCGAGGGGAAACGACAUCGAAAGCUUGCUUUUGAUGGGCGUCGACCGGCGCACGGGUGAGUAACGCGUAUCCAACCUGCCCAUCACUUGGGGAUAACCUUGCGAAAGUAAGACUAAUACCCAAUGACGUCUCUAGAAGACAUCUGAAAGAGAUUAAAGAUUUAUCGGUGAUGGAUGGGGAUGCGUCUGAUUAGCUUGUUGGCGGGGUAACGGCCCACCAAGGCUACGAUCAGUAGGGGUUCUGAGAGGAAGGUCCCCCACAUUGGAACUGAGACACGGUCCAAACUCCUACGGGAGGCAGCAGUGAGGAAUAUUGGUCAAUGGACGAGAGUCUGAACCAGCCAAGUAGCGUGCAGGAUGACGGCCCUAUGGGUUGUAAACUGCUUUUAUAAGGGAAUAAAGUGAGUCUCGUGAGACUUUUUGCAUGUACCUUAUGAAUAAGGACCGGCUAAUUCCGUGCCAGCAGCCGCGGUAAUACGGAAGGUCCGGGCGUUAUCCGGAUUUAUUGGGUUUAAAGGGAGCGUAGGCCGGAGAUUAAGCGUGUUGUGAAAUGUAGAUGCUCAACAUCUGCACUGCAGCGCGAACUGGUUUCCUUGAGUACGCACAAAGUGGGCGGAAUUCGUGGUGUAGCGGUGAAAUGCUUAGAUAUCACGAAGAACUCCGAUUGCGAAGGCAGCUCACUGGAGCGCAACUGACGCUGAAGCUCGAAAGUGCGGGUAUCGAACAGGAUUAGAUACCCUGGUAGUCCGCACGGUAAACGAUGGAUGCCCGCUGUUGGUCUGAAUAGGUCAGCGGCCAAGCGAAAGCAUUAAGCAUCCCACCCGGGGAGUACGCCGGCAACGGUGCAACUCAAAGGAAUUGACGG
This 896-nucleotide ribosomal RNA is filed under the name uncultured bacterium. RNAcentral's name for it is "bacterial SSU rRNA". It matches the Rfam family "Bacterial small subunit ribosomal RNA", at positions 30 to 916 of the family's 1533-position model. RNAcentral also lists the same sequence under 1 other name. The record is from RNAcentral.